Non-coding RNA from Candidatus Buchananbacteria bacterium, 87 nucleotides. The record is from Rfam. Lineage: Bacteria; Candidatus Buchananiibacteriota.
GGAGAGGUGGCAGAGCGGUCGAAUGCGUCAGUCUUGAAAACUGAAGUCCCUUCACGGGGACCGUGAGUUCGAAUCUCACCCUCUCCG